UGAUCAUGGCUCAGGAUGAACGCUGGCGGCGCGCCUAACACAUGCAAGUCGAACGGCACCCCUCUCCGGAGGGAAGCGAGUGGCGAACGGCUGAGUAACACGUGGAGAACCUGCCCCCUCCCCCCGGGAUAGCCGCCCGAAAGGGCGGGUAAGUACCGGAUACCCCGGGGUGCCGCAUGGCACCCCGGCUAAAGCCCCGACGGGAGGGGAUGGCUCCGCGGCCCAUCAGUGACGGCGGGUGGCGGACCCGACCCGUCGCCGACCGAAACGGGUAAGGGCCCGGGUUUCGGUAGG
RNAcentral lists this ribosomal RNA (294 nucleotides) under uncultured bacterium. RNAcentral's name for it is "partial 16S ribosomal RNA". It matches the Rfam family "Bacterial small subunit ribosomal RNA", at positions 14 to 315 of the family's 1533-position model. The record is from RNAcentral.